CUGACGUUACCGGGGCGGAGCGGGCGGCAGGAAGAGGAAGCGGCGCUUAUCGCCGUGUUGAAGCGUAGAACCGAACCGAGCGGAACCGGGAUGUCGCUGCGGGGCUGGGCGCUGGCCGUGCUGGCCGCUCUGACCCCGGCGGAGCGCAGCCGGCCCUACGCUGUGCUGCAGAAACAGAACCUGGUGCUGCUGGGCAGCAUCCUCAGCGCCCUGCUGCUCACCAUCGUCCUCAUGGCUGUCUGCGUCUACAAACCCGUCCGCCGGCGGUAGCAUCCCACGGCUCCAGGACAUCCCCAUCACCCGCACGGAGCGACACCCGGUUCCGCUUCUGCUUCGUGGUGAUGGCGAUCCCAGCGCUCAGCAUCGGAGCAUCGGGGAGCAGCCAUGGACAAGGAGCCCGGCCCAGCCCCUACACAUGGGGCAGCGGGGGGCUCAGCUGUGCAGCUACAGCCGGAUCCACCCCCUGCAGCUUUGGGUAACAAAGUCAGGGUUUACACUGAAGUCACACCACGUGCAUCUGGAUGCUGCUAUUUUUGUGUUCUGUUUUGCACUGGCCGGGAGUAGUAACUGGAUUUUGCUUCUUAUUACGUUGGUAUUUAACAUAAUGGGGGCAGGGGUAGUAAUUUAUUUUAGGCUUUUAAAACCAUGCUUCUAAUGUUGGUCAGCUCUGCAAGCCCUCACUCCUGCUUUGUUAAGGGCAGGGAGCUGGGGAUUCCCUUUGCUGCUGCUCUAUGUGUCAGUAAAUGAGCCUGGCCUGGAAUAGACCUCAUUUCUAACCUUAGUGAAGCACAAAUGAGGGAGCAAACAACUGCAGGAUGUUUCUUUCCGAUCCUCUCCUUAGCUGCAGAGCUCUGGCUUCGUUGGUUUCUACAUCCUUUGUUCCACAUAACACUGUGCCCAUAGCUGUGUGCUUGUUGGUGGGUGUAGCUCUGAGCUCCCUGCGGCAGCGUUGUUUGCAUUCAUUCUUCACCCCCUGCUCUGUCUCUCUCUGUACAAAUAAAAGAGAAGCAAACACUG
This is a non-coding RNA of Coturnix japonica (Japanese quail), 1017 nucleotides long. Lineage: Eukaryota; Metazoa; Chordata; Aves; Galliformes; Phasianidae. The record is from RefSeq and is a predicted model, not a curated record.